GUUGUAUGGUUAAGUGACUAAGCGUACACGGUGGAUGCCUUGGCAGUCAGAGGCGAUGAAGGACGUAUUAACUUGCGAUAAGCCCAGAUUAGACAGUAAAAGUCAUUUGAGUCUGGGAUUUCCGAAUGGGGAAACCCACUUACAUAAGUAAGUAUCUUGUUGUGAAUACAUAGCAGCAAGAGGCAAACCGGGGGAACUGAAACAUCUAAGUACCCCGAGG
Molecule: ribosomal RNA, 220 nt
Filed under: Vibrio chagasii
Lineage: Bacteria; Pseudomonadati; Pseudomonadota; Gammaproteobacteria; Vibrionales; Vibrionaceae
Description: partial 23S ribosomal RNA
Rfam family: Bacterial large subunit ribosomal RNA
Source: RNAcentral